Long non-coding RNA from Talpa occidentalis (Iberian mole), 502 nucleotides. RefSeq lists it as uncharacterized. The record is from RefSeq and is a predicted model, not a curated record. The transcript has 3 exons. Lineage: Eukaryota; Metazoa; Chordata; Mammalia; Eulipotyphla; Talpidae.
UCUCCCCCAACUUCAAUAUGAUCUGCAUCAAGGCCAUUUAUCCCUGAUGUUCUUGUUGUUGUUACAGAGAAGGGAUGGCACAGUGUGGUGGAAAGAGUAUGACUUUUGCGGUCAGAUUCCUUCGACUGGAAGCUCAGGCUAGAGAGGAAGACGGACCUGUGGGAUGCUGUUUCAGGAGGUUUCAGAAAGAGCCUACUGUGUUCCUUUCCCAGCUGUGUUGGAACCCUGAGCUUCUUUUGAAAGCUGGCAUAAGCCUUGAGGUCACCCACUGCAUCUGGGUUGCAUUUGCAAAAUGUCUGACACAUUGUAGGUACUUAACAAUGCUCCCAGUUAUUAUUCUGGAAGAAGGCAGAGCAAGGAACUGGAGAGAACAGGCCUGGGUACCUUCAAAGAACAGACAACGCUUUCCUGAGAUACCAGGGCCACUAGGCCAGGUCAAAGACAUGUUAGGCCCCCAACCCCUUCCUCUUUCCAGAACUGCACUUGCCCAUAUGGUAGCACU